GACGAACGCUGGCGGCGUGCCUAAUACAUGCAAGUCGAGCGGUCGGAUGGGAGCUUGCUCCCAGACCGUCAGCGGCGGACGGGUGAGUAACACGUGGGCAACCUGCCUGUAAGACUGGGAUAACUCCGGGAAACCGGGGCUAAUACCGGAUAACUCUUUCCCUCACAUGAGGGAAAGCUGAAAGAUGGCAUCUCGCUAUCACUUACAGAUGGGCCCGCGGCGCAUUAGCUAGUUGGUGAGGUAACGGCUCACCAAGGCGACGAUGCGUAGCCGACCUGAGAGGGUGAUCGGCCACACUGGGACUGAGACACGGCCCAGACUCCUACGGGAGGCAGCAGUAGGGAAUCUUCCGCAAUGGACGAAAGUCUGACGGAGCAACGCCGCGUGAGUGAUGAAGGUUUUCGGAUCGUAAAACUCUGUUGUCAGGGAAGAACAAGUACCGGAGUAACUGCCGGUACCUUGACGGUACCUGACCAGAAAGCCACGGCUAACUACGUG
Molecule: ribosomal RNA, 498 nt
Filed under: uncultured bacterium
Lineage: Bacteria
Description: partial 16S ribosomal RNA
Rfam family: Bacterial small subunit ribosomal RNA
Source: RNAcentral